CUAGGAUUAGAUACCCUAUUAUUUAAAAUGUAAAAACUAAAGUAUUAAUAGUUAUGAUCUUUAAACUUAAAAAAUUUGGCGGUAUUUUAGUCUGUUCAGAGGAACCUGUUUUAUAAUCGAUAAUCCACGUUGGACCUUACUUUAAUUUAUUUAUUAGUUUAUAUACCGUCGUUAUAAAAAAUUUUAUAAGAAUAAUAAUUUUUAAGAUAAUAUAUCAGAUCAAGGUGUAGCUUAUAUUAAAGAAAAUAAUGGGUUACAAUAAAAAUAUUUAUAUGAAUAUAGGUAUGAAAAAUUUAUUGAAAGAGGAUUUGAAAGUAAAAUUAAAAAGAUUAUUAAUUUGAUUUUAGCUCUAAAAUAUGUACAU
This 364-nucleotide ribosomal RNA is filed under the name Melaloncha gradata. RNAcentral describes it as "partial 12S ribosomal RNA". The record is from RNAcentral. Lineage: Eukaryota; Metazoa; Arthropoda; Insecta; Diptera; Phoridae.